GACGAACGCUGGCGGCGUGCUUAACACAUGCAAGUCGAGCGAUGAAGUUUCUUCGGAAAUGGAUUAGCGGCGAACGGGUGAGGAACACGUGAAGAAUCUGCCCUCCACUUCGGGAUAACACCGGGAAACCGGUGCUAAUACUGAAUAUUGAAACAUAAGUGGCAUCACUGAGUUUUGAAAGAAUUUCGGUGGAGGAUGACUUCGCGGCCUAUCAGCUAGUUGGUGAGGUAAUGGCUCACCAAGGCAACGACGGGUAGCCGGCCUGAGAGGGCGACCGGCCACACUGGGACUGAGACACGGCCCAGACUCCUACGGGAGGCAGCAGUGGGGAAUAUUGGGUAAUGGAGGAAACUCUGACCCAGCGACGCCGCGUGCGGGAUGAAGGCCUUCGGGUUGUAAACCGCUUUCAGUAGGGAAGAAGCGAAAGUGACGGUACCUACAAAAGAAGCACCGGCUAACUAUGUGCCAGCAGCCGCAGUAA
RNAcentral lists this ribosomal RNA (481 nucleotides) under uncultured bacterium. RNAcentral's name for it is "partial 16S ribosomal RNA". It matches the Rfam family "Bacterial small subunit ribosomal RNA", at positions 28 to 523 of the family's 1533-position model. The record is from RNAcentral.